Molecule: ribosomal RNA, 302 nt
Filed under: uncultured bacterium
Lineage: Bacteria
Description: partial 16S ribosomal RNA
Rfam family: Bacterial small subunit ribosomal RNA
Source: RNAcentral
GCAGCAGCCGCGGGAAUACGGAGGGUGCAAGCGUUAAUCGGAAUUACUGGGCGUAAAGCGCACGCAGGCGGUCUGACAAGUCAGAUGUGAAAUCCCCGGGCUUAACCUGGGAACUGCAUUUGAAACUGUCAGGCUGGAGUCUUGUAGAGGGGGGUGGAAUUCCAGGUGUAGCGGUGAAAUGCGUAGAGAUCUGGAGGAAUACCGGUGGCGAAGGCGGCCCCCUGGACAAAGACUGACGCUCAGGUGCGAAAGCGUGGGGAGCAAACAGGAUUAGAUACCCCAGUAGUCCCUGUCUCUUAUAC